UGGUUGUGCAGCUGCACCGAUUAUCCCUUUACCGACACCUGAAACAAAACCCUCUACACCAGAUGCCUUUGCACCUUCUAAUGGCUUUGUUACUAUACCCAUUACUCCUCUAAUUAACCCCUUUGCCAGUGCUCCUCCCCCUUCUCUUAUCACAUCACCGAAAUCUUCAACACCUUUGUUUUCCUGUCUCUGUCGGCUUUGAAUAAACUUCUUGUCCAUUGAUAAGGCAGCUACACCUUUACUCAUAUGUCCAAAUGCACUGCUUGCAUUUCCCAGUAUAUCCACACCAGAAAGCAGCUGAAGAGGCUGACUUAGAAUAUCCUUUGUGAUAUUUGAGACGGCAUUGGUUGUAAGAACGCUUUGUCUCAUCGACAAGUUUUCCAGAAAUCUCUGAUUUACCCGCACCUGUGAUGGCAAUACGCAUAUUUUCCGUGUUCCCUAGAGCUGUCAUCAAGGAUGACCAGAAACCAAGUACACCCACAGGGCGCUGAGUUGGCGACAUAGCCAUGGAGAAUUUAAAUCGA
Molecule: long non-coding RNA, 524 nt
Filed under: Helianthus annuus (common sunflower)
Lineage: Eukaryota; Viridiplantae; Streptophyta; Magnoliopsida; Asterales; Asteraceae
Description: sRNA HanXRQr2_Chr01g0045861
Source: RNAcentral